CUACAGGCUUAACACAUGCAAGUCGAGGGGCAGCAUGGUCUUAGCUUGCUAAGGCCGAUGGCGACCGGCGCACGGGUGAGUAACACGUAUCCAACCUGCCGUCUACUCUUGGACAGCCUUCUGAAAGGAAGAUUAAUACAAGAUGGCAUCAUGAGUCCGCAUGUUCACAUGAUUAAAGGUAUUCCGGUAGACGAUGGGGAUGCGUUCCAUUAGAUAGUAGGCGGGGUAACGGCCCACCUAGUCUUCGAUGGAUAGGGGUUCUGAGAGGAAGGUCCCCCACAUUGGAACUGAGACACGGUCCAAACUCCUACGGGAGGCAGCAGUGAGGAAUAUUGGUCAAUGGGCGAGAGCCUGAACCAGCCAAGUAGCGUGAAGGAUGACUGCCCUAUGGGUUGUAAACUUCUUUUAUAAAGGAAUAAAGUCGGGUAUGGAUACCCGUUUGCAUGUACUUUAUGAAUAAGGAUCGGCUAACUCCGUGCCAGCAGCCGCGGUAAUACGGAGGAUCCGAGCGUUAUCCGGAUUUAUUGGGUUUAAAGGGAGCGUAGAUGGAUAUUUAAGUCAGUUGUGAAAGUUUGCGGCUCAACCGUAAAAUUGCAGUUGAUACUGGAUAUCUUGAGUGCAGUUGAGGCAGGCGGAAUUCGUGGUGUAGCGGUGAAAUGCUUAGAUAUCACGAAGAACUCCGAUUGCGAAGGCAGCCUGCUAAGCUG
This 707-nucleotide ribosomal RNA is filed under the name uncultured Bacteroidales bacterium. RNAcentral describes it as "bacterial SSU rRNA". It matches the Rfam family "Bacterial small subunit ribosomal RNA", at positions 40 to 736 of the family's 1533-position model. Lineage: Bacteria; Pseudomonadati; Bacteroidota; Bacteroidia; Bacteroidales. The record is from RNAcentral.